UUUCAGAUGGAGUCCAACUGCGAUUCAGUAGUGAAAGGGCCCCGAGCAAAGCCAAGACAGCCAAUGCUGGGAGGAGCCGCGCACUGAGACAUUUGUGCUGGGGUUUCCCACUGCUGCAGACAUGGUGGAGAGUGGCGCGAUGAAUGCCUUUAGGUCUUCUUCCCAGCUGCUGGCAAACAUUCUUUCCAUUCUACAGACAAGGAAACUGAGGUUCAGAAAAGCUCAGAAAAGGGCAGAGGAGAGGACCAGGGCCUGGCGUAGCUGCUCUACUGACAGGAGCAAAGCAAGCAGAGCCAAUGGGAAACAACAAGUGUGUCCGCGGGCACUGCAGCGUAGUUGUGCAUGCGGCGGAAGGACAAGGAUGCAGCUGAGCAGACUGUCUGCAAAGACCUCUAUUCAGAUGUUCAUGGACAUUCACGGACACAACUCUGGCACGUGAAGAAUGUUGAUGAACCGGUCAGCCACUGAGGAGGAGGGGAAAUAAAUCCCCUCAACACAAAAUAAAAAUAAAAGCAAUAAUAAAAUAAAAA
This is a long non-coding RNA of Monodelphis domestica (gray short-tailed opossum), 530 nucleotides long. RefSeq lists it as uncharacterized. Lineage: Eukaryota; Metazoa; Chordata; Mammalia; Didelphimorphia; Didelphidae. The record is from RefSeq and is a predicted model, not a curated record.